RNAcentral lists this unclassified non-coding RNA (21 nucleotides) under Mus musculus (house mouse). Its description in RNAcentral is "oocyte_clustered_small_RNA13916". The record is from RNAcentral. Lineage: Eukaryota; Metazoa; Chordata; Mammalia; Rodentia; Muridae.
UUUGGUACCCUUGGGUCUCGU